CGUAGGGUGCAAGCGUUGUCCGGAAUUAUUGGGCGUAAAGAGCUCGUAGGCGGUUUGUCGCGUCUGCUGUGAAAACCCGAGGCUCAACCUCGGGCCUGCAGUGGGUACGGGCAGACUAGAGUGCGGUAGGGGAGAUUGGAAUUCCUGGUGUAGCGGUGGAAUGCGCAGAUAUCAGGAGGAACACCAAUGGCGAAGGCAGAUCUCUGGGCCGUAACUGACGCUGAGGAGCGAAAGCAUGGGGAGCGAACAGGA
RNAcentral lists this ribosomal RNA (252 nucleotides) under uncultured Microbacteriaceae bacterium. RNAcentral's name for it is "partial 16S ribosomal RNA". It matches the Rfam family "Bacterial small subunit ribosomal RNA", at positions 526 to 777 of the family's 1533-position model. Lineage: Bacteria; Bacillati; Actinomycetota; Actinomycetes; Micrococcales; Microbacteriaceae. The record is from RNAcentral.